RNAcentral lists this ribosomal RNA (398 nucleotides) under uncultured bacterium. Its description in RNAcentral is "partial 16S ribosomal RNA". It matches the Rfam family "Bacterial small subunit ribosomal RNA", at positions 523 to 918 of the family's 1533-position model. The record is from RNAcentral.
AUACGUAGGGUGCGAGCGUUGUCCGGAAUUACUGGGCGUAAAGAGCUCGUAGGUGGUUUGUCGCGUCGUCUGUGAAAUUCCGGGGCUUAACUCCGGGCGUGCAGGCGAUACGGGCAUAACUUGAGUACUGUAGGGGAGACUGGAAUUCCUGGUGUAGCGGUGAAAUGCGCAGAUAUCAGGAGGAACACCGGUGGCGAAGGCGUGUCUCUGGGCAGUAACUGACGCUGAGGAGCGAAAGCAUGGGUAGCGAACAGGAUUAGAUACCCUGGUAGUCCAUGCCGUAAACGGUGGGCGCUAGGUGUAGGGGUCUUCCACGACUUCUGUGCCGUAGCUAACGCAUUAAGCGCCCCGCCUGGGGAGUACGGCCGCAAGGCUAAAACUCAAAGGAAUUGACGGGG